Molecule: transfer RNA, 71 nt
Filed under: Globisporangium ultimum DAOM BR144
Lineage: Eukaryota; Oomycota; Peronosporomycetes; Pythiales; Pythiaceae
Description: Pythium ultimum DAOM BR144 tRNA
Rfam family: tRNA
About the family: Transfer RNA (tRNA) molecules are approximately 80 nucleotides in length. Their secondary structure includes four short double-helical elements and three loops (D, anti-codon, and T loops).
Source: Rfam by way of RNAcentral
GCUCCUGUAGCUUAGUGGUUAAGCUCAGUGUAUGCACGCGGGCGUCGUGGGUUCGAGUCACACCAGGAGCA